CGGGGGGGGCAAGCGUUGUUCGGAAUUACUGGGCGUAAAGGGUGCGUAGGCGGCUCUCUAAGUCGGAUGUGAAAACUCUGGGCUCAACCCAGAGCCUGCAUCCGAAACUGGAGGGCUAGGGUUCUGGAGGGGAAAGCGGAAUUCCUGGUGUAGCGGUGAAAUGCGUAGAUAUCAGGAGGAACACCGGUGGCGAAGGCGGCUUUCUGGACAGAUACCGACGCUGAGGCACGAAAGCUAGGGGAGCAAAACAGGAUUAGAUACCCUGGUAGUCCUAGCCCUAAACUAUGGAUACUUGCUGUGGGGGGGAUUGAAGCCCCUUGUGGCGAAGCUAACGCAUUAAGUAUCCCGCCUGGGGAGUACGGUCGCAAGGCUG
This 373-nucleotide ribosomal RNA is filed under the name uncultured organism. RNAcentral describes it as "bacterial SSU rRNA". It matches the Rfam family "Bacterial small subunit ribosomal RNA", at positions 526 to 896 of the family's 1533-position model. The record is from RNAcentral.